RNAcentral lists this long non-coding RNA (434 nucleotides) under Prunus persica (peach). Its description in RNAcentral is "long non-coding RNA (PPER_LNC000087)". Lineage: Eukaryota; Viridiplantae; Streptophyta; Magnoliopsida; Rosales; Rosaceae. The record is from RNAcentral.
UAGACCCCUCCACCAAAAAGCACCAGCUUCCUUAAACAUGUACCAUCGAGCUACAAGUGCACAUGGGAAUGCAAGAAAAAGAAAGUGAGCUUGUGCCAUCUUGACUUUCCCAACCCAAUUAUGCCUUAUGUCCCCAUAAUAUUAAGCAUUUUGCCAUCCCCAUGACUUUGAUACAUGCUUUCCCAAGUUUCUCUAUAUUCUCAAGUUUUCAAAUACCACAACUUAUUGUCCUUUAUCUGAUUCUCAUCUCAAUACAUGAACAAGGAUCCAGUUCUUUUUUUCUUUUUCUUUUUCUUUUUUUUUUUGGCUGGAUACAAAAAAGUAUGCAAUGCCAUAAUGCGCCAUGAGGCAUUGACUCACUGUCCAAGGUUUGCCAACAUCCAUUUCAAGUGAUCAAACUGUCAUUCUGAUAAUUUUGAACAUCUGAAUGUGAA